RNAcentral lists this long non-coding RNA (1076 nucleotides) under Sus scrofa (pig). RNAcentral's name for it is "lncRNA (ENSSSCG00055000454.1)". The record is from RNAcentral. Lineage: Eukaryota; Metazoa; Chordata; Mammalia; Artiodactyla; Suidae.
CGUGGGGGCUAAGUGUCUGUGAUUUUUAUUCUUGCUAACAAAGCCCAGACCGCACACCCCACACGCAGAUGGGAGCUUGUGCAGAGAUGCAGACGAGCCGUAGGAUACCCGCUUCCCUAACUGCCUGGCACGGAAUCUUGGCUACAUUUCCCAAAGUGUGGCCACGAGGCAGCAGCCCUCAGGUCUGCAGGCAUUUGCAGGGACUUCUGAAGGCUUAGUCCCAGGGGUGGCCAGGCUGGGAGCUACAUGCCAACUCGGCAUGUACUUUGGGGAAAUGAAAGUUGACCUCCGAGAUCAAAAAAGGAAAUGAAUCUAGCUGGCUACGUUGCUUUCCUCCCUGAUACUUGGGAGCAACUCCCCCCACCCCAACCGGCCUCGUCUAGACCCUUCCAUGCGGCCGAGAGACAAGCUUCGAGUCAGAUCAGUGUCUGGAACCAUAGGGAGGAAACAGAAGAGCAAGUGUCUGAUGUUCCCCUCACCCUCCAGCAUCAAACAGCCCCCGCUGAAAGAGCAGCACUCUCUUUCUCAUGACUUUUUUGAGGGCAAAGAUACCGCCUGGAGACACUGCCUCACGAGUGACAACUCUGGGCUCCAAAUGCUGACCAGCGGGCUGCUGUAGAUCACACCAAGAAGACAACUGGACACGAGGCAGGGUGAGCAGCUGUGUGGGGCUGAGACAGACCUGGGUUUCUUCUUCGAGAGGACGCAACAUUACAUGUAAGUGCACGGCUCGGGGCCUGGCCCUUCGAGGUGGUCGCAAAGGUUUGAUGGGUCCUGGGAAAAGCCCUUCAAUCAAAAUUAUCUUCCUCACUGACCUGUGUCAAGGAAACAUCUGCCACCACUCGGUCCCGAGAUUAUGUCCUUCGAAGGCUUCUGUUUAAACACAGACCACCUCUCAGGGGCUGGCGGGGAGGCGUCUGGGAAAGAAGCCCCUUCCCAGUGCGAAACACCUUUGUCUGAACUGAGUUUAUCAGGUCAACCAGUCAGUCAGUGAGCAGAGCCUUGACAACUGGAGGAACUGCAGACCCGUUUGGACCCGUUUGGAGGGGUGGCGUGAGAAGGGCCUUAGGGAAGGG